CCUACGGGGGCUGCAGUGGGGAAUAUUGGACAAUGGGCGAAAGCCUGAUCCAGCCAUGCCGCGUGUGUGAAGAAGGCCUUCGGGUUGUAAAGCACUUUCAGUGGGGAAGAAAGCCUUGGGGCUAAUACCCUCGAGGAAGGACAUCACCCACAGAAGAAGCACCGGCUAACUCCGUGCCAGCAGCCGCGGUAAUACGGAGGGUGCGAGCGUUAAUCGGAAUUACUGGGCGUAAAGCGCGCGUAGGCGGUCUGAUAAGCCGGUUGUGAAAGCCCCGGGCUCAACCUGGGAACGGCAUCCGGAACUGUCAGGCUAGAGUGCAGGAGAGGAAGGUAGAAGUCCCGGUGUAGCGGUGAAAUGCGUAGAGAUCGGGAGGAAUACCAGUGGCGAAGGCGGCCUUCUGGACUGACACUGACGCUGAGGUGCGAAAGCGUGGGUAGCAAACAGGAUUAGAUACCCGGGUAGUC
Molecule: ribosomal RNA, 464 nt
Filed under: Vreelandella stevensii
Lineage: Bacteria; Pseudomonadati; Pseudomonadota; Gammaproteobacteria; Oceanospirillales; Halomonadaceae
Description: partial 16S ribosomal RNA
Rfam family: Bacterial small subunit ribosomal RNA
Source: RNAcentral